This 253-nucleotide ribosomal RNA is filed under the name uncultured bacterium. RNAcentral's name for it is "partial 16S ribosomal RNA". It matches the Rfam family "Bacterial small subunit ribosomal RNA", at positions 524 to 776 of the family's 1533-position model. The record is from RNAcentral.
UACGAAGGGGGCUAGCGUUGCUCGGAAUUACUGGGCGUAAAGCGCGCGUAGGCGGGUCGUUAAGGCGGGGGUGAAAUCCUGGAGCUCAACUCCAGAACUGCCUUCGAUACUGGCGAUCUUGAGUCCGGGAGAGGUGAGUGGAACUCCGAGUGUAGAGGUGAAAUUCGUAGAUAUUCGGAAGAACACCAGUGGCGAAGGCGGCUCACUGGCCCGGUACUGACGCUGAGGUGCGAAAGCGUGGGGAGCAAACAGG